Long non-coding RNA from Tarenaya hassleriana, 1509 nucleotides. RefSeq lists it as uncharacterized. NCBI's taxonomy places the organism in Eukaryota, Viridiplantae, Streptophyta, Magnoliopsida, Brassicales, Cleomaceae. The transcript is spliced from 3 exons. The record is from RefSeq and is a predicted model, not a curated record.
AAAAAUAAUAAUAAUAACUUGGCUCUCUCUCUCUCCACCUUGGAUCCUUUUCUUCCUCCGCCAACUUGUCUCCGACACAUGGUGGGUUUCUCUUGGUGGCUUCACUCCUACAACAAUGCAUCCAUGGCGUCCGAACUUACUCCAACACAUGAUGAGCAAGCAUAUUUGGUUUUAAUUGAGACAUAGCAAAAACAAGCAUGCAAUUCAAAAGAAAAGACAGAGUAAAAGGAGAACACGAACAAACCCUGAAAGGAGAGACAACACACACGCGAACUAUAUUGAGCUAAGCUUUCUUUCUCUCCUAUUUCAUUAUUGUUCUUUUAUUACUUAUUUCACAUUUUAUCGGUUUGAACCCCACCGGUGUGGAUUGACACCGAGGACGAUGCCAAAUUCAAGUUUGGGGAAAGGUCUAACAUAGAACAACUCCAUUAUUAGCAACUGAAUUUCACGUUUCUAUGCAUUAGUGCAUUUCAAUUAAAAAAUUUCAAAAAAUUGCAUAAAUUUGCAUUAGUUUCCCAUUCUCAUUUGCAUAUUCCGCAUGACAGAUGGCUUUAGAAUUGCAUUUACAUAAGCAUAUAACUACGGUAUAUAGGUCACAUGCAUAGAAAAUAUUUUUGAGGGUGCUGGAUAGACGACAUAUGAAUGAUAUAGUAGAGAUUAUUUGAUAGUUAGAACAAUAUGAGUGACAUUAAAUGGAGACAAAAUCCUUAGCUGCCAAUCAUUACGUGGGACGAGAAAGCAUAGUAGAAUAAACUUGAUUUCGUUCAAUGGUACCAAUAACUAGACAAGAAUCUCGUUCUUGACAUGAAUUCGACCAUUUAUUCUCAUUCUCUCUUUUUAGUGUAUUUUUCUAGAGUUUUGCCCGAGGAUAAACAAAAGUCUAAGUUUAAAAGAGUUGAUAACAUCAAUUUUGCAUGAUAUUUUUCUAUUGUUUUAGUUACAUUUUACCUCAUAUUUUAUACAAAAUUAUGAAUUAGAUUACAUUUUAGGCAUAAAUACCAUUUUAUUUGCUUUAUGAUGGAAUUUCAGUUAUAUUUGCUUAAUCGGACAAAAAAGAAGCAAAAACGGAGUUCGAGGAACUUAUUGGACCAAGAUUGAAUGUCAAGGGAAGUGCGGGAUGAGAAACAUGCAAGGAAUGGACGAGAAUCAAAGUUCGAAGGCCAUAUCGAGCAAGCAACCUCUAUAUCGACCUUGGGAGAUUCUCGAUAUCGAGCACACAAUUCGAUAUCGGCAUGGUAUCUUGGCCUUGAUAUUGACCAUACUCAAGCUUGAUAUCGACUAGCUCUUGUACGUGAGAUCUUGCAGCUUGGAUCCAUAUCCAUCGAGAUGAAAAUAUUGACCAGGUUUCGAGCUCGAUAUCGGUGUGAUCCACUCGAUCUUGAACUUUGAUUGGCUGAUGAUUAGCUAGAAACAUAUUCUUUUAUGUCAUACAAGACGGGUCACACUAUAUUUAUUUUUCUUGUGUAAAACAUGUGUGUAUAUCUAUAUAUAUGAAGUAAAUUAAUACUG